AUCCCACACUCAUUGGGCAANUGGGCCCGACGUAUUCAAUCACGGGCGCCNUGGCCGCGGGAUUCCAGUUGAGUCUGGCUCGANUUGACGCUGGCGGCNUGCCUAUCCNUGCAUGUCACCGGCAGCGCGGGGGCAACCCUGGCGGCGAGCGGCGAACGGGUGAGUANUGCNUCGGAACGUGUCCUCUUGUGGGGGAUACCAGUCGAAAGACUGGGCAANUCCGCAUGAGAUCGAGAGAUGAAAGCAGGGGACCGCAAGGCCUUGCGCGAGAGGAGCGGCCGAUGCCGGAUUAGCUAGUUGGUGGGGUAACGGCNCUCCAAGGCGACGAUCCGUAGCUGGUCUGAGAGGACGACCAGCCACACUGGGACUGAGACACGGCCCAGACUCCUACGGGAGGCAGCAGUGGGGAAUUUUGGACAUGGGGGCAACC
This 430-nucleotide ribosomal RNA is filed under the name uncultured beta proteobacterium. RNAcentral describes it as "bacterial SSU rRNA". The stretch from base 63 to 430 matches the Rfam family "Bacterial small subunit ribosomal RNA", at positions 1 to 382 of the family's 1533-position model. The record is from RNAcentral. Lineage: Bacteria; Pseudomonadati; Pseudomonadota; Betaproteobacteria.